Molecule: ribosomal RNA, 404 nt
Filed under: uncultured bacterium
Lineage: Bacteria
Description: bacterial SSU rRNA
Rfam family: Bacterial small subunit ribosomal RNA
Source: RNAcentral
AACGAACGCUGGCGGCGCGCCUAAUACAUGCAAGUCGAGCGAGAAGACGUAGCAAUACGUUUGUAAAGCGGCGAACGGGUGAGGAAUACAUGGGUAACCUACCCUCGAGUGGGGAAUAACUAGCCGAAAGGUUAGCUAAUACCGCGUACGCUCCUUGGACUUCGGUUCAGGGAGGAAAGCGGUACCGUGGGUAUCGCGCUCUUGGAUGGGCUCAUGUCCUAUCAGCUUGUUGGUGAGGAACGGCUCACCAAGGCUUCGACGGGUAGCUGGUCUGAGAGGACGAUCAGCCACACUGGCACUGCGACACGGGCCAGACUCCUACGGGAGGCAGCAGUAAGGAAUAUUGCGCAAUGGGCGAAAGCCCGACGCAGCGACGCCGCGUGGGGGAUGAAGGUCUUCGGAUU